AUUGAACGCUGGCGGCAGGCCUAACACAUGCAAGUCGAACGAGUGGCGGACGGGUGAGUAAUGUCUGGGAAACUGCCUGCUGGAGGGGGAAAACUACUGGAAACGGUAGCUAAUACCGCAUACCAUCGGAUGUGCCCAGAUGGGAUUAGCGAGUAGGUGGGGUAAAGGCUCACCUAGGCGACGAUCCCUAGCUGGUCUGAGAGGAUGACCAGCCACACUGGAACUGAGACGCGGACCAGACUCCUACGGGAGGCCGCAGUGGGGAAUAUUGGACAAUGGGCGCAAGCCUGAUGCAGCCAUGCCGCGUGUAUGAAGAAGGCCCUCGGGUUGUAAAGUACUUUCAGCGGGGAGGCGUUACCGGCAGAAGAAGCACCGGCUAACUCCGUGCCAGCAGCCGCGGUAAUAC
RNAcentral lists this ribosomal RNA (406 nucleotides) under uncultured bacterium. RNAcentral describes it as "partial 16S ribosomal RNA". It matches the Rfam family "Bacterial small subunit ribosomal RNA", at positions 29 to 526 of the family's 1533-position model. The record is from RNAcentral.